This 513-nucleotide ribosomal RNA is filed under the name uncultured bacterium. Its description in RNAcentral is "partial 16S ribosomal RNA". It matches the Rfam family "Bacterial small subunit ribosomal RNA", at positions 28 to 507 of the family's 1533-position model. The record is from RNAcentral.
GACGAACGCUGGCGGCGUGCUUAACACAUGCAAGUCGAACGAAAAGAGGGAAAGAGCUUGCUCUUUCCGGAAUUGAGUGGCAAACGGGUGAGUAACACGUAAACAACCUGCCUUCAGGAUGGGGACAACAGACGGAAACGACUGCUAAUACCGAAUAAGUUCCAAGGGCCGCAUGGCCCAUGGAAGAAAAGGUGGCCUCUACCUGUAAGCUAUCGCCUGAAGAGGGGUUUGCGUCUGAUUAGCUGGUUGGAGGGGUAACGGCCCACCAAGGCGACGAUCAGUAGCCGGUCUGAGAGGAAGAACGGCCACACUGGAACUGAGACACGGUCCAGACUCCUACGGGAGGCAGCAGUGGGGAAUCUUCCGCAAUGGGCGAAAGCCUGACGGAGCAACGCCGCGUGAGUGAUGACGGCCUUCGGGUUGUAAAACUCUGUGAUCCGGGACGAAAAGGCAGAGUGCGAAGAACAAACUGCAUUGACGGUACCGGAAAAGCAAGCCACGGCUAACUACGUG